Molecule: long non-coding RNA, 285 nt
Filed under: Athene cunicularia (burrowing owl)
Lineage: Eukaryota; Metazoa; Chordata; Aves; Strigiformes; Strigidae
Description: lncRNA (ENSACUG00000007821.1)
Source: RNAcentral
AUUCCUACUAAGAGGAGUAGUAUUCCCAGUUAUCUCUUUGUGAAGUUCUUGGACCAGACUACCACAGGUUAUAGGUAUCAGUAGAGAGAACAGUAGGAAUGUUUGGUGGGAAGCAGGUAGACUGCAGACAGACAUGAACCAACCUUUUGUCCAGGGGCUCCAUCUUCUCCUGGAAGACCAGGCAAACCUGCCAGUCCUGAAGGGCCUGGCUCACCCUGACAUCAAUAAAAAAUUUCCCCUGGAAAAAUGAAAAAGCAAAACAGGUUGUGAGGAUAUAUAACCCAA